GAUGAACGCUGGCGGCGUGCCUAAUACAUGCAAGUCGAGCGCACGGACGAGAUGCUUGUUCCACUGAUGUUAGCGGCGGACGGGUGAGUAACACGUGGAUAACCUACCUAUAAGACUGGGAUAACUUCUGGAAACCAGUGCUAAUACCGGAUAAUAUUUUGAAACACAUGGUUCAAAAGUGAAAGACGCUCUUGCUGUACCUAAUAGAUGUCUCCGCGUUGCAUUAGCUAGUUGGUAAGGUAAGGGCUUACCAAGGGAACGUUGCAUAGCCGACCUGGGAGGGUGAUCGGCCACACUGGAACUGAGCCACGGUCCAAACUCUUCGGGAAGCCAGCGGAGGGGAAUCUUCCGCAUUGAGGGAAGGCUGGACGAGGCACCGCGGGGUGGGGGAGGAGGGUCUUCGGAUGGUAAACCCUUGUGAUAGGGGAAGACCAUAGGGGUAGGUAACAGUGCACAACUUGACGGUACCUAAUCAGAAAGGCACGGCUAACUACGUG
This 497-nucleotide ribosomal RNA is filed under the name uncultured bacterium. Its description in RNAcentral is "partial 16S ribosomal RNA". It matches the Rfam family "Bacterial small subunit ribosomal RNA", at positions 28 to 507 of the family's 1533-position model. The record is from RNAcentral.